UACGACGUACGAAGGUUUCGGAUCCUGGCUCAGGAUGAACGCUGGCGGCAGGCUUAAUACAUGCAAGUCGAACGGUAACGACCGGUAGCAAUACUGGGGCGACGAGUGGCGCACGGGUGCGUAACGCGUAUGCAACCUACCCUCAACCGGGGCAUAACGCCGAGAAAUUGGCGCUAAUAUCCCAUGUGUAUUGGAAGUGGCAUCACUAUCAAUAUAAAGAUCCGUUGGUUAAGGAUGGGCAUGCGUAACAUUAGCUGGUUGGCGGGGUAACGGCCCACCAAGGCGACGAUGUUUAGGGGUUCUGAGAGGAUUCACCCCCACACUGGAACUGAGACACGGUCCAGACUCCUACGGGAGGCAGCAGUAGGGAAUAUUGGGCAAUGGAGGCAACUCUGACCCAGCCAUGCCCGCGUGAAGGAAGACGGCCCUAUGGGUUGUAAACUUCUUUUGCCGCAGAGUAACCCGGGGACGCGUCCCCGCUGAGAGUAUGCGGCGAAUAAGUAUCGGCUAACUCCGUGCCAGCCGCUGC
This 529-nucleotide ribosomal RNA is filed under the name uncultured bacterium. Its description in RNAcentral is "bacterial SSU rRNA". It matches the Rfam family "Bacterial small subunit ribosomal RNA", at positions 1 to 518 of the family's 1533-position model. The record is from RNAcentral.